RNAcentral lists this non-coding RNA (23 nucleotides) under Cricetulus griseus (Chinese hamster). The record is from RNAcentral. Lineage: Eukaryota; Metazoa; Chordata; Mammalia; Rodentia; Cricetidae.
AGAGACAGAGACAGGGAGAGAGA